This 253-nucleotide ribosomal RNA is filed under the name uncultured bacterium. RNAcentral describes it as "partial 16S ribosomal RNA". It matches the Rfam family "Bacterial small subunit ribosomal RNA", at positions 524 to 776 of the family's 1533-position model. The record is from RNAcentral.
CACGUACUGUGCGAACGUUAUUCGGAAUCACUGGGCUUAAAGGGUGCGUAGGCGGCGAUUCAAGUCAGAUGUGAAAUGCCUGAGCUCAACUGAGGCAUUGCGUUUGAAACUGAACCGCUAGAGUAUUUCAGGGGUAUGCGGAACUGCCAGUGGAACGGUGAAAUGUGUUGAUAUUGGCAGGAACACCGGAGGCGAAAGCGGCACACUGGGGAAUAACUGACGCUGAGGCACGAAAGCCAAGGGAGCGAACGGG